RNAcentral lists this ribosomal RNA (305 nucleotides) under uncultured bacterium. RNAcentral describes it as "bacterial SSU rRNA". It matches the Rfam family "Bacterial small subunit ribosomal RNA", at positions 335 to 639 of the family's 1533-position model. The record is from RNAcentral.
AUCCUACGGGAGGCAGCAGUGAGGAAUAUUGGUCAAUGGGAGAGAUCCUGAACCAGCCAAGCCGCGUGAGGGAAGACGGCCCUAUGGGUUGUAAACCUCUUUUGUCGGAGAACAAAACCCGGGACGUGUCCCGGACUGCGUGUAUCCGAAGAAAAAGCAUCGGCUAACUCCGUGCCAGCAGCCGCGGUAACACGGAGGAUGCGAGCGUUAUCCGGAUUUAUUGGGUUUAAAGGGUGCGUAGGCGGUCUGUUAAGUCAGCGGUAAAAUUGCGGGGCUCAACCCCGUCGUGCCGUUGAAACUGGCAG